GUGUUCAAAUCUCAGCAGAAGUUCCGUAGUUUUCUUUCACCGGCAUCAAGUUGGCAUUUAACCUGAAAAAAGCUUUUGUUUCGAUGACAGAAACACACCCAUAAUAAUUUCGUACAAUAUUUGCACUGUAACUGCAGUUCUGAAGACAACUCAUAUCUUAGAAGAAGUCUACAAAGAACAUACAGGAAAUACAGCCUUUCUGUUAACCACCAAAAUUUGCAUUUACAAACGCCUAACCGAAGCUAAACUCUCUAGCUCUCCUCUUUACCGCCUUUUUUACCUUUCUUUUGCUUCUGCUUCAAUUGCGUGAGGCCUGCAGCAGUAACCUUUACAUUGCCAAUAAUUGCAGCAACUAGUUCAGAAUCUGUACAUGCUUUCAUCAAUUCCUUCUCCCUGCUAGUUGCUUCUGGCAUGUGGCUGAACAAGUUCAUGGCAGUUUUUGCAGCUUUUCCUUUCUUUGCUGUGCCAGGGACAAUCUUCACUCGGUACUUGUAUGACUGCACUGCAUUGUAGGGACCACAGACUGGCACAGAAUAUAAUAGAAUGUCGCUAGGCAAGGGAUUCCCAGUCAAGUAAUCCAAAUCAUUUAACUUCUCUUUAUCUUCUUCACCUAUCUCAUGGAUGUCAUCCUCCUCCUGUGCCACCUUUUCUUCCUCCAAAGUGAUACGAUUCAAACCAACACAAGAGUCAUUGGUCUGUCCAUUUGCAUGAUUGUUUGAACUAUCAUCAGGAUGUUCUGGGCAAUCCCGAGACAAGUGACCUGCCUUUUUACAUUUAUAACAUACUUUUGGUGCAUUUUCAGGACUGGUAACAGAUAUCUUGUCUUUGCCAGCAGUGACUGUUACAUUUUGCGUCUCUUCAUCUUUCUUGUGUGUCUUUCCAGCAGAAGCCAGUAAAGCCAUCCGAAUGCUUCUCUCCUCCUCAUCUUGAUUUGCAUACUUCUCCUUCAUCUUCUUAAGUUUACUCUUCUGCCCACGGCUGAUUUUUCCACCUACUGCCUUAUUUUGGACACUCUUUUCAGGUUGACAGACAGAAACACCAGUUUCUUUUGAUUCUUCUUUUUCCGACUCAAUGUUUGCAUCUCCAGCACCAUUUUUGCGAUCCUUCUUGAGCUUUCUUCUUUCAGCCUUUGAGAUAUGAGGUUUAUCUCUCCCUGUCGCCUUCCUUUCCUCACAACCAUGAUCCUCAGACAAAUCAACCUUAGAUGUUUCAACUCCAUAAUGUUUUUGAGAUACAGCAGCAGGUCCCAGUCCAAGAGCUCUAUCAAUGAGAUCCUCAAGUUGUGGUGUAACAGAUGCAACACUGUUUCCAACAAUAUUGGAUGAAUCUUCCUUCU
This 1336-nucleotide unclassified non-coding RNA is filed under the name Hevea brasiliensis (rubber tree). The record is from RNAcentral. Lineage: Eukaryota; Viridiplantae; Streptophyta; Magnoliopsida; Malpighiales; Euphorbiaceae.